GGGCCAAAGCCCAGUGGUAGAGCAUCUGCUUUGCAUGCAGAAGGCUGGCCCAGGUUGAAUCCCCCGAUGGCAACU
This is a non-coding RNA of Podarcis lilfordi (Lilford's wall lizard), 75 nucleotides long. NCBI's taxonomy places the organism in Eukaryota, Metazoa, Chordata, Lepidosauria, Squamata, Lacertidae. The record is from the annotation of a GenBank genome assembly.